Molecule: non-coding RNA, 761 nt
Organism: Callithrix jacchus (white-tufted-ear marmoset)
Lineage: Eukaryota; Metazoa; Chordata; Mammalia; Primates; Cebidae
Source: RefSeq, a predicted model, not a curated record
CGGCGAUGCCGCCCAGACGCCCGAGGGCGCUGGCGUCGAGGGAGGCGGCGCCCGACACCAGGCUGCAGACCACCAGCGGCAGGAUGAUCAUGCGCAGCAUGCGGAGCAGCAUCUCGCCGGGGAAGGCCAGGCUGCCUGUGUCCAAGCUAACUGGGGAGACUGACUGUUGGAACCGGAACAAGAUCCCCACCUUGAUACGAAAGGCAAAGGACCUCACUUAGCAGGAAUCAGGAAUGGUUAAAUCUGCAUAGGAGGCAAGAUCAGCAUCACCAGUGCUGCCAUGUUGAUAGAAAACCAUGCUAAUCAGCAGCAGCAGCAGCACCCAUCCAAGCCUCGGCUUUCUUAUCUGUAAAAGGAGUUUACAAACCUAUACUCGGAGGGUUCUAAGAGGACUGGAAAGGAUACAUAAAAGCUCUUAGGACAGUUCCUGACACUUGGUGAGCAUCGAGUAAAUAUUUGUUAUGCAAAUUUUUGAUACAAGUCCAAAAUAAAUGAUCUGGUUUCCUAACCUGCACCAUUCAGAUAAAAAUAACAAAUUACUAUAUAAUGGUUUACAGGCAUCUCAUUGUUUUAAAGUUCCUUCUGAAAGAUGGCUGGAAAAUACACCUCCUGGAAAUCAAAACUAGUUCACAGACACCUGAAAGGAUGAGUGCAACGGGGUUCUAAUGCAGGUUGCAUUACUGUUCCCUUCCACUUUGCUUCACUGUAUUUUCUUUUCUUUUUCUUCUUCUUCUUUUUUUUUUUUUUUUUUUUGAGACAGA